AUGAGUUUGAGGAUUCUGUGCAUCGGGCACGUCGUCUUGCUGUGUCCAGAGAGAAGGUGCUGGCGGGUGUGGAGAGUCCAGUCAGUGUGGUCACACAGGAAGACGUCAUCAUUUACCUACAGUGGCUCAUUUGCCAUUUGCACUCUGUCAAAAGCAUCCACAACUUUCUGCAUGAGUAUUUGUAUCAGUGUCAGAGGUCCCCCUGCACUCGGUCAAUAUAGAGGUUUUUAAAACCCAGCUGGACUUCCUCCUGUCACAUUUUGACAUCCAGUAUAAUAACAGAACCAUCAAGACAGCUGGAGAUGAAAUGGAGCUCUUUAGUAUGGUAAUCUUGAUUAGAUUGCAAUUAACAUUUGUGAUAACUAAAUAAAUUAUAAAUGAAAAGGAAAUAAAGGAAAAGU
Molecule: long non-coding RNA, 401 nt
Organism: Cyprinus carpio (common carp)
Lineage: Eukaryota; Metazoa; Chordata; Actinopteri; Cypriniformes; Cyprinidae
Source: Ensembl